RNAcentral lists this ribosomal RNA (248 nucleotides) under uncultured bacterium. Its description in RNAcentral is "partial 16S ribosomal RNA". It matches the Rfam family "Bacterial small subunit ribosomal RNA", at positions 332 to 574 of the family's 1533-position model. The record is from RNAcentral.
UCUAGCCUCGGGGCGCAGCAGUAGGGAAUCUUCCACAAUGGGCGAAAGCCUGAUGGAGCAACGCCGCGUGGGUGAAGAAGGUCUUCGGAUCGUAAAACCCUGUUGUUAGAGAAGAAAGUGCGUGAGAGUAACUGUUCACGUUUCGACGGUAUCUAACCAGAAAGCCACGGCUAACUACGUGCCAGCAGCCGCGGUAAUCCGUAGGCGGCAGGCGUUAUCCGGCUUUAUUGGGCGUAAAGUGAACGCAG